This 21-nucleotide microRNA is filed under the name Ananas comosus (pineapple). RNAcentral's name for it is "microRNA s1192_c020b". Lineage: Eukaryota; Viridiplantae; Streptophyta; Magnoliopsida; Poales; Bromeliaceae. The record is from RNAcentral.
AGGGAUUCAUGCAAGUGCUUU